CCUACGGGCUGCUGCAGUGGGGAAUAUUGGACAAUGGGCGAAAGCCUGAUCCAGCCAUGCCGCGUGUGUGAAGAAGGCCUUCGGGUUGUAAAGCACUUUCAGUGGGGAAGAAAGCCUUGGGGCUAAUACCCUCGAGGAAGGACAUCACCCACAGAAGAAGCACCGGCUAACUCCGUGCCAGCAGCCGCGGUAAUACGGAGGGUGCGAGCGUUAAUCGGAAUUACUGGGCGUAAAGCGCGCGUAGGCGGUCUGAUAAGCCGGUUGUGAAAGCCCCGGGCUCAACCUGGGAACGGCAUCCGGAACUGUCAGGCUAGAGUGCAGGAGAGGAAGGUAGAAUUCCCGGUGUAGCGGUGAAAUGCGUAGAGAUCGGGAGGAAUACCAGUGGCGAAGGCGGCCUUCUGGACUGACACUGACGCUGAGGUGCGAAAGCGUGGGUAGCAAACAGGAUUAGAUACCCCUGUAGUC
This 465-nucleotide ribosomal RNA is filed under the name Vreelandella stevensii. RNAcentral describes it as "partial 16S ribosomal RNA". It matches the Rfam family "Bacterial small subunit ribosomal RNA", at positions 338 to 795 of the family's 1533-position model. The record is from RNAcentral. Lineage: Bacteria; Pseudomonadati; Pseudomonadota; Gammaproteobacteria; Oceanospirillales; Halomonadaceae.